AGAGGGCGCUUGAUUGCCAUUUUAUUAGGUUGGUGCAAAAGCAAUUGCGGUUUUUGCCAUUAAAUUACUUUUGCAUCAACCUAAUACAUCACUUUCCUGCUGGCCAGUCUUUUCUACCUC
This 120-nucleotide microRNA precursor is filed under the name Chlorocebus sabaeus (green monkey). RNAcentral's name for it is "miRNA (ENSCSAG00000027789.1)". The record is from RNAcentral. Lineage: Eukaryota; Metazoa; Chordata; Mammalia; Primates; Cercopithecidae.